GAGUUCAGAGGUGUGCUAUUUGUGGCUGUUCUAGAGGAAAUAAGUCUUCCCAUAUUUUUCCCAGCUUUCGUUACUUUUAAUCCUUUUGGUGGUGGCAUAUCAAACAUUUGCUCUCUGAAAACUUUGGGGGAAUUGGAAUUUUAUGAAGUAUUGUACAUUUAUUUAAAGUGGGACAGUCCCAAAUUUACAGGCUAAUAGGAAACCAAAUGAUCUCCUCCAUCACAUCAUUCGAAAAAGAUUUGUAGUAAAAAAAAAGAAAAAAGGACAACUGGUCCGUCAUCUAUACACAUCAACUAAACACCCCUUUUCCCUUUUGCAUAGUCACUGUGCAGGGUUCUAUAGUUGUUCACAUUGUUUGGAGAUGUAGUUGGGGAGAAGUGUGGGAGCAGAAAUGCUGAGGCUUAGAGUGGCCAUGAUCUCCUACAAAAAAACAGCUCUUUUGGACCUUCUCUAACCUGGGCUCUUUGUGUUUUGCAUAUUAAUGCUUAGUGUCUCUCAUUUAGCCACACGAAGUGACAGAGCUGGAGUGGUGAUGCUGGUGACAGGAGAUAAAUCUAAUGACUCAGCAGCUUUACACAAUGAACAGUGCUCU
This is a long non-coding RNA of Myotis brandtii (Brandt's bat), 592 nucleotides long. RefSeq lists it as uncharacterized. The transcript has 3 exons. The record is from RefSeq and is a predicted model, not a curated record. Lineage: Eukaryota; Metazoa; Chordata; Mammalia; Chiroptera; Vespertilionidae.